UACGUAGGGGGCAAGCGUUGUCCGGAUUUAUUGGGCGUAAAGCGCUCGCAGGUGGUCCGUCGCGUCGUGCGUGAAAGCCCCCGGCUCAACUGGGGAGUGUCGUGCGAUACGGGCGGACUGGAGGCCAGUAGGGGGAUGCGGAAUUCCGGGUGUAGUGGUGGAAUGCGUAGAGAUCCGGAGGAACACCAGCGGCGAAGGCGGCAUCCUGGACUGGUCCUGACACUCAUGAGCGAAAGCGUGGGGAGCGAACAGG
Molecule: ribosomal RNA, 253 nt
Filed under: uncultured bacterium
Lineage: Bacteria
Description: partial 16S ribosomal RNA
Rfam family: Bacterial small subunit ribosomal RNA
Source: RNAcentral